AUUUAUUUAUGAUAAUAAAUUCAAUGCUAAGCUCAUGAAAUACUAAUCAUUAAAAAAAUAUAGAACUGUAUGAAAAAACUACUAAAAUUACGUGUAAACAUAAACAUAAAACCGUUUAAAAAAAAAAAAAAAGUGGAAAUCUCAAUUCAAAAGAAAUAAAGACACAAGACAGGCCAUGUGGUUAGGCCAGCCCCACCCUAUUAGAAUCCCACAUCAAAAGAAUAUGAAGUAAAAUGGCAAUAUAUAAGUGAUUUAGUUGCAACAUUGACUUGGCUAAUUAUUUUGAUAUGUAAAGCAAUCUAAUCAUUUAUAUAAAUCCGAAUUAAAAAUGAAUUAAAUUGUAAUUUGAUCAACACUCUCUCCAAAUUUAACAAUUUUUAAUAGUUAUUGACAAAAAUUACGGCAUAGUUCUUAGA
Molecule: unclassified non-coding RNA, 416 nt
Filed under: Hevea brasiliensis (rubber tree)
Lineage: Eukaryota; Viridiplantae; Streptophyta; Magnoliopsida; Malpighiales; Euphorbiaceae
Source: RNAcentral